RNAcentral lists this ribosomal RNA (330 nucleotides) under uncultured eukaryote. Its description in RNAcentral is "partial 18S ribosomal RNA". It matches the Rfam family "Eukaryotic small subunit ribosomal RNA", at positions 1470 to 1797 of the family's 1831-position model. The record is from RNAcentral.
CCCUUAGAUGUUCUGGGCCGCACGCGCGCUACACUGAUGCAUUCAACGAGUCUAAAACCUGCUCUGAUAGGGGUGGGUAAUCUUUUGAAUGUGCAUCGUGAUUGGGAUAGAUGAUUGCAAUUUUUCAUCUUCAACGAGGAAUGCCUAGUAAACGCAAGUCAUCAGCUUGCAUUGAUUACGUCCCUGCCCUUUGUACACACCGCCCGUCGCUCCUACCGAUUGAAUGAUCCGAUGAAUAUCAUGGAUUGAGGAUGCAAGUAGGUUAGCCUAUCUUCAUCUUCGAGAAGUGAAGUAAAUCUUAUCAUUUAGAGGAAGGAGAAGUCGUAACAA